AUUGAACGCUGGCGGCAGGCCUAACACAUGCAAGUCGAGCGGAUGAAGGGAGCUUGCUCCUGGAUUCAGCGGCGGACGGGUGAGUAAUGCCUAGGAAUCUGCCUGGUAGUGGGGGAUAACGUCCGGAAACGGGCGCUAAUACCGCAUACGUCCUGAGGGAGAAGGGGGGGGACCUUCGAACCCCACGCAACCAGAUAACCCUAGGUCGGAUUAGCUAGUUGGUGGGGUAAAGGCCUACCAAGGCGACGAUCCGUAACUGGUCUGAGAGGAUGAUCAGUCACACUGGAACUGAGACACGGUCCAGACUCCUACGGGAGGCAGCAGUGGGGAAUAUUGGACAAUGGGCGAAAGCCUGAUCCAGCCAUGCCGCGUGUGUGAAGAAGGUCUUCGGAUUGUAAAGCACUUUAAGUUGGGAGGAAGGGCAGUAAGUUAAUACCUUGCUGUUUUGACGUUACCAACAGAAUAAGCACCGGCUAACUUCGUG
Molecule: ribosomal RNA, 484 nt
Filed under: uncultured bacterium
Lineage: Bacteria
Description: partial 16S ribosomal RNA
Rfam family: Bacterial small subunit ribosomal RNA
Source: RNAcentral